Long non-coding RNA from Manihot esculenta (cassava), 820 nucleotides. RefSeq lists it as uncharacterized. The record is from RefSeq and is a predicted model, not a curated record. NCBI's taxonomy places the organism in Eukaryota, Viridiplantae, Streptophyta, Magnoliopsida, Malpighiales, Euphorbiaceae. The transcript is spliced from 2 exons.
UUUAUUAAAAGACAAUCUUUGUUGCUUAGAUAUAUGAAAAAAAUCACAUUCAGAAAUAUUGUUGAAUUCACCAACAUCUUCUAUAUGGUUUACAACUUCUUUAGAAGCAUGUCCCAACCUACAAUGUCAUAGGUAGGAUACUGAGCACGUUUUAUUACAAUUGUGACAUGCACAAGCUUGGUUUAUUGGUAGAGAAAAAGCUGCAGGGACUUUAGUAGGGUUGAUAUCUAUGUCCAAUCUGUACAGUCCAUCAUGUAUUCUUCCAUAGGCAAUCACAUCCUUGGUUAACAGGUAUAUGCAAGGUAUCAAUCAAUUCUAGUUUGGAGUUCAAUUUAACAUUUCCUACAUUAUGGACAUUGUUUAUAGAGCCAUCUGGUAAGUAAACAGGCAUGGGGUUUCUUGGCUUGAUUUUGGAUUUAAACAAGAUUUGAUCAUAUUUCAGGUGAGAAGUAGCUCCAUAGUUAAUUAUCCACAUACCUUGAGUUGGUGAAUGAUCUCCAGAAAAAUAGAGGGCAUUACCUGCGAAUCCAGAGAAAUUUGAGCAAUUGGCAUCUGAGAUAGGCUUGCCUUUCAGGUACUUGACUAUUCCUUGUUGGACUAUAGAGCUGAUGUUAGAGUUCCAUUCUUCCAGCUUUACAUUCUCAAUAUGUGCAAUCGCUUCCAGAGGAUUCUCCUAUAUUUGUGUGGUGACAUUAGCCUAUUGUUUCCCCUUUUUCUGCUUAAGUUCCUGAAACCAGUCUGGAAAUCCAUUUAGUUUGAAAGAAGUCUCUCUUAUGUGUCUAAUCUUAUGACAGUAAGUGCAUUGGCGAUCUUUUUUUCU